AUUGAACGCUGGCGGCAGGCCUAACACAUGCAAGUCGAGCGGAGCGGCGGACGGGUGAGUAAGGCAUAGGAAUCUGCCUGGUAGUGGGGGAUAACUUCCGGAAACGGGCGCUAAUACCGCAUACUAUCAGAUGAGUCUAGGUCGGAUUGGCUAGCUGGUGGGGUAAAGGCCUACCAAGGAGACGAUCCGUCACUGGUCUGAGAGGAUGAUCAGUCACACUGGAACUGAGACACGGUCCAGACUCCUACGGGAGGCAGCAGUGGGGAAUAUUGCACAAUGGGCGCAAGCCUGAUGCAGCCAUGCCGCGUGUAUGAAGAAGGCCUUCGGGUUGUAAAGUACUUUCAGUCGGGAGGCGUUACCGACAGAAGAAGCACCGGCUAACUCCGUGCCAGCAGCCGCGGUAAUAC
This 407-nucleotide ribosomal RNA is filed under the name uncultured bacterium. RNAcentral's name for it is "partial 16S ribosomal RNA". It matches the Rfam family "Bacterial small subunit ribosomal RNA", at positions 30 to 526 of the family's 1533-position model. The record is from RNAcentral.